RNAcentral lists this ribosomal RNA (253 nucleotides) under uncultured bacterium. Its description in RNAcentral is "partial 16S ribosomal RNA". It matches the Rfam family "Bacterial small subunit ribosomal RNA", at positions 524 to 776 of the family's 1533-position model. The record is from RNAcentral.
UACGGGGGGAGCGAACGUUGUUCGGAAUCACUGGGCGUAAAGGGCGCGCAGGCGGCCUCGUAAGUGGGAUGUGAAAGCCCCUGGCUCAACCAGGGAAAUGCGUCCCAUACUGCGGGGCUUGAGUGCAGAAGAGGAUGGGGGAAUUCCCGGUGUAGCGGUGAAAUGCAUUGAUAUCGGGAGGAACACCAGUGGCGAAGGCGCCCAUCUGGUCUGCUACUGACGCUCAGGCGCGAAAGCCGGGGGAGCAAACAGG